This 891-nucleotide ribosomal RNA is filed under the name Pseudomonas aeruginosa. RNAcentral describes it as "bacterial SSU rRNA". It matches the Rfam family "Bacterial small subunit ribosomal RNA", at positions 9 to 873 of the family's 1533-position model. Lineage: Bacteria; Pseudomonadati; Pseudomonadota; Gammaproteobacteria; Pseudomonadales; Pseudomonadaceae. The record is from RNAcentral.
UUNAGAAGUUUGAUUCUGGCUCAGAUUGAACGCUGGCGGCAGGCCUAACACAUGCAAGUCGAGCGGAUGAAGGGAGCUUGCUCUUGGAUUCAGCGGCGGACGGGUGAGUAAUGCUUAGGAAUCUGCCUGGUAGUGGGGGGAUAACGUCGUGAAACGGGCGCUAAUACCGCAUACGUCGUGAGGGAGAAAGUGGGGGAUCUUCGGACCUCACGCUAUCAGAUGAGCCUAGGUCGGAUUAGCUAGUUGGUGGGGUAAAGGCCUACCAAGGCGACGAUCCGUAACUGGUCUGAGAGGAUGAUCAGUCACACUGGAACUGAGACACGGUCCAGACUCCUACGGGAGGCAGCAGUGGGGAAUAUUGGACAAUGGGCGAAAGCCUGAUCCAGCCAUGCCGCGUGUGUGAAGAAGGUCUUCGGAUUGUAAAGCACUUUAAGUUGGGAGGAAGGGCAGUAAGUUAAUACCUUGCUGUUUUGACGUUACCAACAGAAUAAGCACCGGCUAACUUCGUGCCAGCAGCCGCGGUAAUACGAAGGGUGCAAGCGUUAAUCGGAAUUACUGGGCGUAAAGCGCGCGUAGGUGGUUCAGCAAGUUGGAUGUGAAAUCCCCGGGCUCAACCUGGGAACUGCAUCCAAAACUACUGAGCUAGAGUACGGUAGAGGGUGGUGGAAUUUCCUGUGUAGCGGUGAAAUGCGUAGAUAUAGGAAGGAACACCAGUGGCGAAGGCGACCACCUGGACUGAUACUGACACUGAGGUGCGAAAGCGUGGGGAGCAAACAGGAUUAGAUACCCUGGUAGUCCACGCCGUAAACGAUGUCGACUAGCCGUUGGGAUCCUUGAGAUCUUAGUGGCGCAGCUAACGCGAUAAGUCGACCGCCNGGANACNCNNNUNGG